RNAcentral lists this ribosomal RNA (426 nucleotides) under uncultured bacterium. RNAcentral's name for it is "partial 16S ribosomal RNA". It matches the Rfam family "Bacterial small subunit ribosomal RNA", at positions 355 to 774 of the family's 1533-position model. The record is from RNAcentral.
UGGGGAAUAUUGCACAAUGGGCGCAAGCCUGAUGCAGCCAUGCCGCGUGUGUGAAGAAGGCCUUCGGGUUGUAAAGCACUUUCAGCGAGGAGGAAGGUGGUGGACUUAAUACGUUCAUCAAUUGACGUUACUCGCAGAAGAAGCACCGGCUAACUCCGUGCCAGCAGCCGCGGUAAUNCGGAGGGUGCAAGCGUUAAUCGGAAUUACUGGGCGUAAAGCGCACGCAGGCGGUUUGUUAAGUCAGAUGUGAAAUCCCCGGGCUCAACCUGGGAACUGCAUUUGAAACUGGCAAGCUAGAGUCUCGUAGAGGGGGUAGAAUUCCAGGUGUAGCGGUGAAAUGCGUAGAGAUCUGGAGGAAUACCGGUGGCGAAGGCGGCCCCCUGGACGAAGACUGACGCUCAGGUGCGAAAGCGUGGGGAGCAAACA